UAUAAAACUUUGGCCUUACAUAGCACUAAAAUUGAAAGGAACAAUACAGAAGAUUAGCAUGGCCCCUGCACAAAGAUGGCAUGCAAAUUUGUGAAACAUUCCUUAUUUUU
This 110-nucleotide small nuclear RNA is filed under the name Papio anubis (olive baboon). The record is from RNAcentral. Lineage: Eukaryota; Metazoa; Chordata; Mammalia; Primates; Cercopithecidae.